UUGUUUUCUUCUUCUUCUCUUUUUUUUUUGGGGGCAGUUUUUCAACAUGUAGUUAUAGGCUCAUUUUUCCCUAUGAUGAUUCUUUUUUAAGUCAACCUCCUCCGUGAACAUUUUUCAGUGACUCUUCACUUUUCUAACCAUUAUCUGUCUUCUCUAUUGAAUCGAAUGCUCUGAUACCAUUUUGUUAGGAACCCAGCCCCUGAUUCAUCUAAAACAAGAAAAUAAAAUACAAAAACAUAAUAAACUAAAACUAUUUCAUUAAUAAAAAAAUUACAAAGAUAAACCGAACAUUUUGAGAAGUUUGGGAGCUUUCAUUCUGAACAUUUUGAAGAGUCUGGGGCCUUCCAUUUUCUGACCAUUCGAGGCACCGGAGGCCUCCCACAAUCAGUCAAGGAUGGUUGCCUAAAUACAAACCUUAAUAUUUUUUCUUCCUCCCUCUUUUGAAACCCAAAAUAUAUAUUUAUAAUAGAGAUUGACUAUUGGAUUGAGGAAAAAUAUCCCAAUCCUAACAUAUUCAAAAAGCUAGACUUUAUCCACUUUCACUAGCUUUCAAGAGGUCAACUCUCUUCUUCAAACAACCAAAGGUUGCCCGAAAAACCUCAAUUUCACCCCUCUUCUCUCUUUUCCCAAUCUAUAUUUUAUGCUUGCUCAUUUCAUGACUACUCAUGCAUGUUUUCAUCAUGUUACAUGUUUCCUCAAUCCCACUCUUAUUCUUUCCAUUUUUCCAUGUUUUCAUAAUUGUCCAUGCUUAUAUAAAUGCUCGUGUACCACUUGUGCUCCCUAUUCCUUUUAGUGAGUCACCUAAAUCCUUGAAUCUAACAUUAUCUGUCCCUUUGAAAACCACCUUAUUCUUAUGGUGGGAAAACUAGAAAAUUCUUUAUUUCAUGAAUUGUCGGACAAAUAUCUACUUCGCAUUCUAAUCUUUCAUUAAAUUGAUCCUCACCAACCUCAUAAAUUGUAACUAAAUGAAAAAAACCAAAAAUGCAUAGUACCCAAAACAAAAUAAGAAAAGGAAAUGUGAAACAUGGCGAAAACAUGCAUGGGCAAUUAUGAAAUGAUUAAGCACAAAAUAGAGAUUGGGGGAGGAGAGAAGAGGGGUGAAGUGGGUUUUUUGGACAACCUAUGACUGAUUGAAGAAGAGAGUUGGCCUCUCAAAAGGCAGUGGAAGUGGAGAUUGUCUAGGCUCACGAAUGCUAGACAAAAAUAGGGUAUUUUGUUGGAGUUAUAUUCGGGCAAGGUAUAUUUUGUGGUUUUCAAAUACAGUUUAUUACACUUUCUUUGUUGACUCUCACAUUGGUUUAUCAUUCUAAUUAAUUGUUUACACAAUUUGUAGGGUUCCUAAGAAAUUGCUUAUUUUAUAACUGCCCAUUCGUGUAUUCACCAUAUUCCAUGUAUUCUUACUUCUCUCCUUCCUCAACUUCAUACUUAUUCUUUCCAUGUUUUCAUAAUUGUCCAUGUUUCUAUGCUUUCUUGAUUGUCCAUGCUUUCACUAUUGCUCUUGUGUGCCACUUGUCCUCCCUAUUCUCUUAUGUAGGUAGCCUAAAUCCUUGGCUCUAACAUUAUCCAUCCCUUUGAAAUAAAAAAAACCAAAAAUGCAGAAUCCCCCAGACAAAAUACAAAGGUAGUUAUGAAUAAGCAUAAAAAGAGUUGGGGAAAAAGAGAAGAGAGGGAAUUGGGUUUUUUUUUAAGCAACAUUUGGUUGAUUGAGGGAGAGAGUUGGCUUCUCGAAAGCUAGUGGAAAUAGAUAGAGUCUAGCCUCUCGAAUGCUAGAUAAGAGCAGGGCCCUUUGUUAGGGUGUUAUCGUAUUUAGGUAGGGAAUACUUUGUUACUGUCAAAUAUAAUUUAGUACACUUGCUGACUCUUACAUUGAUUAAUUGUUCCAAUUAAUUAUUUGUAGAGUUUGUUAGGUUCCUUAAAAACUGGUAUAAUAACAACUACGAUUUCUAAGGAUGGGGAGGAUCAAUUUGGUGAAAAAAAUCAAGAAAUGGAUAUCUGUCCAACAUUUCAUGAAAGAAGAGGGCUUUCCAAUUCUCCCAUCUUGAAGACAAUGUGAUCCUCAAAGUGAUGGGUAAUGUUAGAGCUAAGGAUUUAGAUGAUCUGUAAGAGAAUGAAAUAGAGAGCACAUGUGACACAUAAAGGUAGUUAUGAAAGCAUGAACAAUUUUGGGCAAUCAUGAGAACAUAGAAACAUGGGCACUUAUGGACAAUUACGUAAACAUGGAAAACAUAAGAAUUGGAUUGAGAAAGGAGAGAAGGAAAUGUGAAAUAGGGCAAAAACAUGCAUGGGCAAUUAUGAAAUGAGCAAGCAUAAAAAAGAGAUUGGGUAAGAGAGGAGGGGAGAAAUCAAGUUUUGUUUGGGCAGUCUUUCACUGACUGAGUGAGGGAGUUGUCCUCUCAAAAGCCAAUAGAGUCUAUCCUCUUGAAUGCUAGACAAGAGCAAAGUCCUGUUAGGAUCAGGACAUUUGUUCUCAAUCCAAUAGUCAAUCUCUAUUAUAAAUAUAUGUUUUAGGUUUCAAAAGAAGGAGAAGAAAAAAUAUUAAGGUUUGUAUUUAGGCAGCCAUCUUUGGUUGAUUGUGGGAGGUCUCUGGUGCUUCAAACGGUCAGAAAAUGGGAGGUCUCUGGUGCUUCAAACAGUCAGAAAAUGGGAGGUCUCGAACUCCUCAAAAUGUUUGGAAUGAAAGCUCCCGAACUCUUCAAAAUGUUCGGUUUAUCUUUGUAAUCUUUUUAUUAAUGAAAUAGUUUUAUUUUAUUAUGUUUUUGUGUUUUAUUUUCUUGUUUUAGAUGAAUUAGGGUUGGGUUUCUGAUAAAAUUGUAUCAGAGCAUUCGAUUCAAUAGGGAAGAUAGAUGAUGGUCGGAAAAGUGAAGAGUCAUCGGAAAAUGUUGACGAAGGAGGCUGACUUGAAGAAGAAUCAUCACAAAGAGAAAUGAGUUGGUGGCUAUAUGCUAGAAAAGUGCCCAAAAGAAAAAAAGAGAA
Long non-coding RNA from Mangifera indica (mango), 2973 nucleotides. RefSeq lists it as uncharacterized. The transcript is spliced from 2 exons. The record is from RefSeq and is a predicted model, not a curated record. Lineage: Eukaryota; Viridiplantae; Streptophyta; Magnoliopsida; Sapindales; Anacardiaceae.